Molecule: long non-coding RNA, 3610 nt
Organism: Cavia porcellus (domestic guinea pig)
Lineage: Eukaryota; Metazoa; Chordata; Mammalia; Rodentia; Caviidae
Exons: 2
Source: RefSeq, a predicted model, not a curated record
CGCGCGGCGCCUGCGUGUCCCGCCCACCGCCAGCCGGAGGGUGUGGGGCGUUUGCGCGCCGCCGCGCUGCGCGGUGGUCUCUGACGCUAGGGUUGCACGCCCGGCGCACACUGGAAACAGCUGAAGCUUGGAAGUCCAGGGCUGAGACAAACUGUUAAGAGCUCAGUCGGUGAGGCUGGAGGGACUUGGAGAGUUAGGUCACACCUCUGCGGAUACUGGAAACCUUUGGUCACCAGGGAGCGUUUGCACGCACUCUGGAGACGGGGAACUCACCUCUCUGUGCGUUGAACCACGUCUUCGCUGCACAGUGCCUUCAGUUCUGUAGAGUGCAAGCGACAGCUUGCCUUGUAUGCAGCGCCUACUGUGUGCCAGGUAUUGCGACGUGAGCUCUAUAACUCGUCGCAGAGAACCCCUCGCAGGGGGACCAGAGCUGCCGCUGACGAUCUGCCACCUCUGCAUCGAGGCUUCGUGAACUGUGGGAAGGCUGGCUCCUCCCAGAGUGCUGGGGAGCCAGGGCAGUAGGAAUCGCUAGAUGACCCAUCUGCUGCCGGAGAGUGGGCUGCGAAGUGGUGAAGGCAGAAGCCGGGAGACCCAAGGAGUGUGCCGAGGAAAGAGCUGGAACCAGCAGGGAUGCUAUGAGAUUUGCUGGUGGACGAUGGGGCAAGGAGAGAGGCUACGGGGAGAUACAGGUGUGCAGAGGUGGGGAGCUAAGUCUGUUAGAGGGCCGAGAUUCCAUCCACAGCCAAAUUGGAUAUAGGAGCCUGGGGCUUAGAGGGCAGCCUGGCCGCUGGUGUUGUUGGGCAGUUCCUUAAAUGGCGCACCAAACAAAAGUACUGCAGGUCCUUCUUGUCUCGAACAAAGAAUUCCCGAGAUGAGCCAAAAAGGAUGCCCAAAGUUUCUUUGAAAACGCAAGGUGAAAGGGUAAGGGAAGAACCGACCCCGCAGAGCAAUUGGGACAAACAAAGAGAGAAAAGGAUAAAAAGGAAAAAUGAAAGUGCACCCCGGGAGGCACAGGAGGAGUUCCUGCGAGGAGUCAAACUUCGAGCUCCUCCUGUCAUCUGCUUACUGAGGCUGUCCACAUCUCCUGGGAGCUCCUGAGAAGCUCUAGGUGCCAGCCCCUGGGACUCAGCUGGCGUCAUCCUGGGGUCUUGAAAUUGAGAGGUCCUGACCAUUUCUGGGCCAGCUUUGCCGUGUGGACAGCUGCCUAGAUAUGGCCUUCACUGUCCUGGCCUCUGUUUCCUCAUCUGUAAGAUGGAGAGGCCGUCUCUGAGGAUGUGGUCCACGCUGUCCAGGUGACCCUCACUUCCACCUGCAUCCUGUCCUGUCAGCCUCCAGUUAUGACUCCAGCGGGGCGGGGGAUGUUCGCUUCCUCGGAGCCCUUCAGUUCCCUUCAGGAACAUCCCACACCUCCUCAGAGGGCCGCAGCAUCUUUGAGAAACUCCGACUUGGAUUCCGGCUCAGAAGGAAAAACAAAGUCAGUCAGUUUCAAUCCUUUCAACAUUCUGCCCUGGAAGAUUCCAGAAUCAGAAUGACAAAACCAAAGGGUGGUGGAGGUCUAGGUCAAGGACAAUUAUCACAAAAGCCAAGACUUUUUUUUUUUUUUUUGCAAGUGAAUAAUUUUUUCAAUUUAUUUGGUGAAAAAAAACCUUAUCUUUUCUUCAUUGACUUAUCUUUGGAGAUUUGCCUGAAUUGUCUGAAUUUUUUUUCUAGAUUCAAACCCAUGACAAUCCUGCCUCAGCCUACUGGGAUUACAGUUGUGCGCCACCGUUCCUUGCUCAGCUGACCAUUUUGAUCGGCUUAUUUUUGGACUUUGUACUCCGCUCGUUGAGCUGUGUGUUUAAUAUAGCUGUUUAGUAAUUUUUUAAAUCAGAUAGUAUGAGUCCUCCAACAUUGGUGUUUCUCAGUUUCUCUGCAUUUAAAAGGAAAGGUCAAGAAAAAGAAAUCAAGAUUUACCAUGUACAGGUGUAAAUUGUUCAUAAUAAAUGUAAUCAUUAUGUAACCUAAAUUGUGCCGAUAAAUAUAAUUAAAUUUUUUAAAAUGUUGACAAAAUUUCUGCUGGAAUGGUAUUAAGUCCACAGAACAUAUGAGGAAAAUGUUAUUCUAAGUUCACUGAGUUUUCCAGUCCAUGAGCCCUAUGUAUCAUUCCACUUAGGUCUUCUCUGAUUUUCUUCAUCAGUGUUUUAUAAUUUUCAGCAUAUAGGUCCUGCAAACCUUCAGUAGGUUGUGCUUGUUUCUGUUUUUUAAAUUUACAAAUGCUACGUAAAAAUUUUUUGGCCAGGGAUUUAGCUCAGUGGCAUACCAGCUGCCUGGCAAGCAGGAGGUCCUGAAUUUGAUUUCUGGCACCCCCCCCCAUUUUAUUUUUUAAUUUCCAAUCAUUUAUUGCCAGUAUAGGAAUAUAAUUGAUUUUUUAUUUUGGUACCAGGGAUCAAACUCCAGACCUCACGCUUACCAGGCAGGCACUUGUGCCGUUGAGCUACAGCCCCAGCCCAACAAUUGAUCUUUAUGAGUUGACAGUAAGUCCUGCAACCUUGCUAUACUCACUUAUUCUAGAAGCUUCUCUAUAGAUCACUUGGAAUUGUCUGCUAUAUAGUUAUUUUGUCUGUGAAAGGGACCAUUUUAUUUGUUCCUUUGUAAUAUGUACACCUUUGGCUGUUCUGGCCUUAUUGCCGGCCUGCUAGUGUAGAACUGAAUCAGAAUGAGAAACAGAAAACAUUCACCAUUAAGUGUGAUGCUUGUUUUGAGUAGUGUUGUGUGUGUGUGGUUUUAUUUUUGUUUUUUAUUAGAUGCUCCUGUUCAGACUACUGAUGUUCCCUUCCGUUCCUAGUUUACUGAGUUUUUUUUAUUAUGAAUGGCUAUUGAACUUUGUUAAGUAAUUUUCCUGUACCACGUUAAUUAAUUAUGUCUUCUUUAGUCUGCUAACAUAGUAAAUGACAAUGUUAGAGUAUGGGUUUUUUUUUUCCAAGUUUUAAUUUUUUUAUUAACACAUAUGUGCAUAACAUAAUAAUUACAUUCCUUGUGGGGAGUUCGCACAUGUUAAAUUCUUAUAAACCCUAAGUGGUCAUGCUGAGAUACACAUAUGCAUACAUAUUGCUGGAUUUGAUUUGCUAAUUUUGUAGGAUAUAUUUUAUGAUCAUGAAAGAAAAUUGGUCUGUAGUUUUUCUUGUAUUACCUUGUCUAAUUUUGGUAUUUUGUAUCGGAAUCAUGUUGGCCUCAUAAAAUGGGUUGGAAAGUGUUCUCUAUUUUUUAUUUUGUGACAAAGUCUUGGUCAGUCACUAACUUGUCCAGACUGAGUUAGAACUUGUCAUCCUCUGGCUUCAGCAUGUCAAGAGUCCCAGGAUUAUAGGCACAUACCACCACACCUGGCUUGGAAGGGGAAACUUUUAAGAGACCAAGUAGGAGGUCUUCGGGUCACUGGGGAUGUGCCCUUGAAGGGGAUUAGGAGGAUCUGGCCCCUCUGCUGUUUCUCUUUUUCUUUCACUCUUCCAUUCUAUCACAUAUUUCCACUGUGAUAGACUGCUUUUCCAUGGGCCCAAAAACAAUACAGCCAACCCAGCUUGGACCAAAGCCUCUCAAACUGUGAGCCAAAAUAAACAUUUUUCCUCUUUAUAAA